RNAcentral lists this ribosomal RNA (513 nucleotides) under uncultured bacterium. Its description in RNAcentral is "bacterial SSU rRNA". It matches the Rfam family "Bacterial small subunit ribosomal RNA", at positions 110 to 620 of the family's 1533-position model. The record is from RNAcentral.
GUAAUAUAUCGGAACGUACCUAGAAGUGGGGGAUAACGCAGCGAAAGUUGCGCUAAUACCGCAUAUUCUCUAAGGAGGAAAGUGGGGGCUCGCAAGACUCAUGCUUUUAGAGCGGCCGAUAUCUGAUUAGCUAGUUGGUGAGGUAAAGGCUCACCAAGGCAUCGAUCAGUAGCUAGGUCUGAGAGGACGACCAGCCACACUGGAACUGAGACACGGUCCAGACUCCUACGGGAGGCAGCAGUGGGGAAUUUUGGACAAUGGGCGCAAGCCUGAUCCAGCAAUGCCGCGUGAGUGAAGAAGGCCUUCGGGUUGUAAAGCUCUUUUGUCAGGGAAGAAACGGUGAUCUCUAAUAUAGGUCACUAAUGACGGUACCUGAAGAAUAAGCACCGGUAACUACGUGCCAGCAGCCGCGGUAAAUACGUAGGGUGCAAGCGUUAAUCGGAAUUACUGGGCGUAAAGCGUGCGCAGGCGGUGUCGUCAAGUCAGAUGUGAAUCCCCGGGUCAACCUGGGAA